Molecule: transfer RNA, 73 nt
Filed under: Nocardia bhagyanarayanae
Lineage: Bacteria; Bacillati; Actinomycetota; Actinomycetes; Mycobacteriales; Nocardiaceae
Description: tRNA-Gln
Rfam family: tRNA
About the family: Transfer RNA (tRNA) molecules are approximately 80 nucleotides in length. Their secondary structure includes four short double-helical elements and three loops (D, anti-codon, and T loops).
Source: RNAcentral
UGGGGCGUGGUGUAACCCGGCAGCACGGCGGAUUCUGAUUCCGUUGGUUCAGGUUCGAAUCCUGGCGCCCCAG